UCCCUGGUGGUCCAGUGGCUGAGACUCUGCGCUCCCAAUGCUGGGGACCCAGGUUAGAUCCCUGGUCGGGGAA
This is a non-coding RNA of Bos taurus (domestic cattle), 73 nucleotides long. Lineage: Eukaryota; Metazoa; Chordata; Mammalia; Artiodactyla; Bovidae. The record is from Rfam.